GUAGGUGGCAAGCGUUGUCCGGAAUUAUUGGGCGUAAAGCGCGCGCAGGCGGUCCUCUAAGUCUGAUGUGAAGGCCCACGGCUCAACCGUGGAGGGUCAUUGGAAACUGGGGGACUUGAGUACAGAAGAGGAAAGCGGAAUUCCAAGUGUAGCGGUGAAAUGCGUAGAGAUUUGGAGGAACACCAGUGGCGAAGGCGGCUUUCUGGUCUGUAACUGACGCUGAGGCGCGAAAGCGUGGGGAGCAAACAGGGAUUAGAUACCCUGGUAGUCCACGCCGUAAACGAUGAGUGCUAAGUGUUAGGGGGUUUCCCGCCCCUUAGUGCUGCAGCUAACGCAUUAAGCACUCCGCCUGGGGAGUACGGCCGCAAGGCUG
RNAcentral lists this ribosomal RNA (373 nucleotides) under uncultured organism. Its description in RNAcentral is "partial 16S ribosomal RNA". It matches the Rfam family "Bacterial small subunit ribosomal RNA", at positions 527 to 896 of the family's 1533-position model. The record is from RNAcentral.